RNAcentral lists this transfer RNA (83 nucleotides) under Oscillatoria sp. SIO1A7. RNAcentral describes it as "tRNA-Tyr". It matches the Rfam family "tRNA". From Rfam's summary of the family: Transfer RNA (tRNA) molecules are approximately 80 nucleotides in length. The record is from RNAcentral. Lineage: Bacteria; Bacillati; Cyanobacteriota; Cyanophyceae; Oscillatoriales; Oscillatoriaceae.
GGGUCGGCUCGCCUAUUAGUGCAGGCAAGGGUCUGUAAAACCCCCGCUUUAUUGCAUUGCAGGUGCGAAUCCUGCCCGGCCUA